GACGAACGCUGGCGGCGUGCUUAACACAUGCAAGUCGAACGCUGAAGACCUGGCUUUUGUUGGGUUGGAUGAGUGGCGAACGGGUGAGUAACACGUGAGUAACCUGCCCUCUUCUUUGGGAUAACGCCCGGAAACGGGUGCUAAUACUGGAUAUUCACUGCUCUUCGCAUGGGGGUUGGUGGAAAGGUUUGUUCUGGUGGGGGAUGGGCUCGCGGCCUAUCAGCUUGUUGGUGGGGUGAUGGCCUACCAAGGCUUUGACGGGUAGCCGGCCUGAGAGGGUGACCGGUCACAUUGGGACUGGGAUACGGCCCAGACUCCUACGAGAGGCAGCAGUGGGGAAUAUUGCACAAUGGGCGAAAGCCUGAUGCAGCGACGCCGCGUGAGGGAUGGAGGCCUUCGGGUUGUAAACCUCUUUCGCUCAUGGUCAAGCCGCAACUGUGGGUUGUGGUGAGGGUAGUGGGUAAAGAAGCGCCGGCUAACUACGUG
RNAcentral lists this ribosomal RNA (486 nucleotides) under uncultured bacterium. RNAcentral describes it as "partial 16S ribosomal RNA". It matches the Rfam family "Bacterial small subunit ribosomal RNA", at positions 28 to 507 of the family's 1533-position model. The record is from RNAcentral.